Molecule: ribosomal RNA, 253 nt
Filed under: uncultured bacterium
Lineage: Bacteria
Description: partial 16S ribosomal RNA
Rfam family: Bacterial small subunit ribosomal RNA
Source: RNAcentral
UACAGAGGUCCCAAGCGUUGUUCGGAUUCACUGGGCGUAAGGGGUGCGUAGGUGGUGAGGUAAGUCGGAUGUGAAAGCUCCGAGCUCAACUCGGAAAUGGCAUUGGAAACUACCUUGCUAGAGGGUUUGAGGGGGGACUGGAAUACUUGGUGUAGCAGUGAAAUGCGUAGAUAUCAAGUGGAACACCAGUGGCGAAGGCGAGUCCCUGGAAAACUCCUGACACUGAGGCACGAAAGCUAGGGGAGCAAACAGG